Molecule: ribosomal RNA, 497 nt
Filed under: uncultured bacterium
Lineage: Bacteria
Description: partial 16S ribosomal RNA
Rfam family: Bacterial small subunit ribosomal RNA
Source: RNAcentral
GACGAACGCUGGCGGCGUGCCUAAUACAUGCAAGUAGAACGCUGAAGAGAGGAGCUUGCUCUUCUUGGAUGAGUUGCGAACGGGUGAGUAACGCGUAGGUAACCUGCCUUGUAGCGGGGGAUAACUAUUGGAAACGAUAGCUAAUACCGCAUAACAAUGGAUGACACAUGUCAUUUAUUUGAAAGGGGCAAUUGCUCCACUACAAGAUGGACCUGCGUUGUAUUAGCUAGUAGGUGAGGUAAUGGCUCACCUAGGCGACGAUACAUAGCCGACCUGAGAGGGUGAUCGGCCACACUGGGACUGAGACACAGCCCAGACUCCUACGGGAGGCAGCAGUAGGGAAUCUUCGGCAAUGGGGGCAACCCUGACCGAGCAACGCCGCGUGAGUGAAGAAGGUUUUCGGAUCGUAAAGCUCUGUUGUAAGUCAAGAACGGGUGUGAGAGUGGAAAGUUCACACUGUGACGGUAGCUUACCAGAAAGGGACGGCUAACUACGUG